UUUGUGUUAUUUUGUAGGUUAAUUUUGUAAGUAAUUUCCCUAAUUUUUGUUUCAAGUUUAAAUGUGUUCUUAAUGUAAAUAAGAAAAUAAUAAAGAAACAAUUAUACUAAUACUUAUGUUCUAAGGAUUCAUAUUGAUUGGAUAUAUGUAAAUAUUUGGUUCUGUUUCUUUCCAACAAAAAUGACUGUUUUCUCUUGUUGACCCUAAAGUAUCAGUUUUCCUGUGUAAGAAAGUCUUGGAGACUUUAAAACUGCGGAUAGUAUUGCAUUUGUGCAAGGUAAUGUGUUAGAGGAUGAUGUCCAUGAAGUUAUCAAUAAAUCUUUUGAAGUUCUUUGAGAGUUAAUUAAGUGGAAUUUCAGAAUUGGCAAAAAUGCGCUACAAUGUGGCGCCAUGUAUGCUUUACCAGAACAGAAAUCUACAGAUUGUGCACUAUAUGAAAAUGCGCAAAGCUAUAUAUUUAUGUAAACAAAGCACACGAGAAAUAUUUUUGUGGAAGAGUGCAAGUUUAUAUGGUGAUUAUUACGUUUUUUAUUUGUUGUUUUCGCAUUGUUUUGUUGUAUUUUGUUGAUUUUUUUUUGUUUUGUUUCUGAAUAGUUAUCAUAACUAUUAAGUGUAAGCAUUCACUCCGAGAGAAUAUCAAGUGAAUUCUUAAAGAGAUUUUUGCAUAAAAUUUAGCGAUAAUGCAUAUCUUUGAAAUAUAUAUGCUAAGUUCGCAGGAAAAAAAUUAGAGUUGAGUUAGAAGAUUUUUUCUUCUUUCUUAUAAUUGCGUAUUGAAGAACAAAAAUACUUUGAAAUCAAAGUAAAUUGUAUCAGUACAUUUUAAACUCUAAACAUUUAUACAAGUUAUUUUGUGAUUAAUUGUUUGGGUUGUGUUUGUGGGAGAAAAAAAAAAAAAAAAAUUUAAAGUACCUUUAUUUAACCUUUGAUUUAUGUACUUAAAUAGUUAUGAUGAUCUCAUAGCAUAUAGCGCAUAAAUUAUGUUCUUAAAUUAUAUCUGUAAGAUUUUAAUUUGGAAUGCUAUUUUAAACAAAAACAAUAUUUGGCGCCAAAGGCCAAGUCAGAAUAUUCAAACAUGCACUAAUGAAAUAUAGGGCGGGAGUGAGGGGUAAAACAAAUAACCACAGGAAACAACAAAGAAAAUACUUAAUAUACAAGAAACGGAACUACGGAUAAAUUUGCAGGUAAUCAAUCAUAUGAAUUCUUGAUCGGAAAAUGCGUUUCUAGUUACAGUUUUAUUGUUUAGUUUACUAAUAAAUAUGUAAUAAAAUAACUCUUCAUUUCGGU
RNAcentral lists this long non-coding RNA (1284 nucleotides) under Cryptosporidium parvum. The record is from RNAcentral. Lineage: Eukaryota; Apicomplexa; Conoidasida; Eucoccidiorida; Cryptosporidiidae.